This 767-nucleotide ribosomal RNA is filed under the name Vibrio sp. Its description in RNAcentral is "bacterial SSU rRNA". It matches the Rfam family "Bacterial small subunit ribosomal RNA", at positions 32 to 796 of the family's 1533-position model. The record is from RNAcentral. Lineage: Bacteria; Pseudomonadati; Pseudomonadota; Gammaproteobacteria; Vibrionales; Vibrionaceae.
GGCCCUGGGGGGCAGGCUACACAUGCAAGUCGAGCGGUAACAGAUCCAGCUUGCUGGAUGCUGACGAGCGGCGGACGGGUGAGUAAUGCAUAGGAAUCUGCCCGAUAGUGGGGGAUAACCUGGGGAAACCCAGGCUAAUACCGCAUACGUCCUACGGGAGAAAGGGGGCUCCGGCUCCCGCUAUGGGAUGAGCCUAUGUCGGAUUAGCUAGUUGGUGAGGUAACGGCUCACCAAGGCGACGAUCCGUAGCUGGUCUGAGAGGAUGAUCAGCCACAUCGGGACUGAGACACGGCCCGAACUCCUACGGGAGGCAGCAGUGGGGAAUAUUGGACAAUGGGGGAAACCCUGAUCCAGCCAUGCCGCGUGUGUGAAGAAGGCCCUCGGGUUGUAAAGCACUUUCAGCGAGGAAGAACGCCUAGCGGUUAAUACCCGCUAGGAAAGACAUCACUCGCAGAAGAAGCACCGGCUAACUCCGUGCCAGCAGCCGCGGUAAUACGGAGGGUGCAAGCGUUAAUCGGAAUUACUGGGCGUAAAGCGCGCGUAGGUGGCUUGAUAAGCCGGUUGUGAAAGCCCCGGGCUCAACCUGGGAACGGCAUCCGGAACUGUCAAGCUAGAGUGCAGGAGAGGAAGGUAGAAUUCCCGGUGUAGCGGUGAAAUGCGUAGAGAUCGGGAGGAAUACCAGUGGCGAAGGCGGCCUUCUGGACUGACACUGACACUGAGGUGCGAAAGCGUGGGUAGCAAACAGGAUUAGAUACCCACCGUAGUCC